CAGCAGCCACGGUAAUACGUAGGUGGCAAGCGUUGUCCGGAAUUAUUGGGCGUAAAGGGCUCGCAGGCGGUUUCUUAAGUCUGAUGUGAAAGCCCCCGGCUCAACCGGGGAGGGUCAUUGGAAACUGGGAAACUUGAGUGCAGAAGAGGAGAGUGGAAUUCCACGUGUAGCGGUGAAAUGCGUAGAGAUGUGGAGGAAUACCAGUGGCGAAGGCGACUCUCUGGUCUGUAACUGACGCUGAGGAGCGAAAGCGUGGGGAGCGAACAGGAUUAGAUACCCCUGUAGUCCCUGUCUCUUAUAA
This 301-nucleotide ribosomal RNA is filed under the name uncultured bacterium. RNAcentral's name for it is "partial 16S ribosomal RNA". It matches the Rfam family "Bacterial small subunit ribosomal RNA", at positions 509 to 809 of the family's 1533-position model. The record is from RNAcentral.